This 412-nucleotide ribosomal RNA is filed under the name uncultured bacterium. RNAcentral describes it as "bacterial SSU rRNA". It matches the Rfam family "Bacterial small subunit ribosomal RNA", at positions 364 to 768 of the family's 1533-position model. The record is from RNAcentral.
UUGGACAAUGGGCGAAAGCCUGAUCCAGCCAUGCCGCGUGAGUGAAGAAGGCCUUCGGGUUGUAAAGCUCUUUUAGUCGGAAAGAAAGAGUUGCAAUGAAUAAUUGUGAUUUAUGACGGUACCGACAGAAAAAGCACCGGCUAACGACGUGCCAGCAGCCGCGGUAAUACGUAGGGUGCGAACGUUAAUCGGAAAUACUGGGCCGAAAGGGUCCGCAGGCGGUCUUGCAAGUCAGAUGUGAAAGCCCCGGGCUUAACCUGGGAAUGUCGUUGGAAACUACUAGACUAGAGUGCAGCAGAGNGGAGUGGAAUUCCAUGUGUAGCAGUGAAAUGCGUAGAGAUGUGGAAGAACCCCGAUGGCGAAGGCAGCUCCCUGGGUUGACACUGACGCUGAUGCACGAAAGCGUGGGGAG